UACGGAGGGUGCAAGCGUUAUCCGGAUUUACUGGGUUUAAAGGGUGCGCAGGCGGAUAUGUAAGUCAGUGGUGAAAUCUCCGGGCUUAACCCGGAAACUGCCGUUGAUACUAUAUAUCUUGAAUGCUGUGGAGGUAAGCAGAAUAGGUCAUGUAGCGGUGAAAUGCUUAGAGAUGACAUAGAAUACCUAUUGCGAAGGCAGCUUACUACGCAGAUAUUGACGCUCAUGCACGAAAGCGUGGGGAUCAAACAGG
Molecule: ribosomal RNA, 253 nt
Filed under: uncultured bacterium
Lineage: Bacteria
Description: partial 16S ribosomal RNA
Rfam family: Bacterial small subunit ribosomal RNA
Source: RNAcentral